This 257-nucleotide ribosomal RNA is filed under the name Vibrio parahaemolyticus. RNAcentral describes it as "partial 23S ribosomal RNA". It matches the Rfam family "Bacterial large subunit ribosomal RNA", at positions 1437 to 1694 of the family's 2925-position model. Lineage: Bacteria; Pseudomonadati; Pseudomonadota; Gammaproteobacteria; Vibrionales; Vibrionaceae. The record is from RNAcentral.
UCCCGUACUUCUUACAAUUGCGAUGGGGGGACGGAGAAGGCUAGGUGGGCCUGGCGACGGUUGUCCAGGUUCAAGUGCGUAGGCUUAAGAGUUAGGUAAAUCCGGCUCUUUCUAAGGCUGAGACACGACGUCGAGCUACUACGGUAGUGAAGUCAUUGAUGCCAUGCUUCCAGGAAAAGCCUCUAAGCUUCAGAUUGUAAGGAAUCGUACCCCAAACCGACACAGGUGGUCGGGUAGAGAAUACCAAGGCGCUUGAG